GGAUUUGUGGGCAAUUUGGCUGUGACGUUUGUAACCCCAUUGAUCACCACAGUUGAUUUAGCUGAUUGGACUGGCUAGGUAUGUGUCCUCUCUCCCUCACCACCCUUUGUGUGUCCUUACCAAAGCCAUGUGGAAAAAGAUGACUAUCCAAGAUAGAAGUUGCAUACUGAUCUUCAGACAAAGGUAUAUGAUAGCUGCACUCCUCUGCUAGAACCUCCAAACAAACCUUAAAUGGAGAAGUCAGACACAGGAAGACCUGACCAUAUCAUGACUUCCAACAAUGCUGUUGUCAGCAUU
This 297-nucleotide small nuclear RNA is filed under the name Ophiophagus hannah (king cobra). RNAcentral's name for it is "7SK RNA". It matches the Rfam family "7SK RNA". Rfam says of the family: 7SK was discovered as an abundant small nuclear RNA in the mid-70s but a possible function has only recently been suggested. Two independent studies have found that 7SK RNA binds the CDK9/cyclin T complex (known as elongation factor P-TEFb). Lineage: Eukaryota; Metazoa; Chordata; Lepidosauria; Squamata; Elapidae. The record is from Rfam by way of RNAcentral.